Molecule: long non-coding RNA, 714 nt
Organism: Balaenoptera acutorostrata (minke whale)
Lineage: Eukaryota; Metazoa; Chordata; Mammalia; Artiodactyla; Balaenopteridae
Exons: 3
Source: RefSeq, a predicted model, not a curated record
AGAGAAAUAAGCUUGACAGAAUGGUAGAGGAAGCAUGAUCCCUGUCAAAGACACAGCCCAUGUGAAGGCCAUUGGUUCAACAAUUAUUUGUGGAGCCCUUACUAUGGGCCAAGCAGGUGUUCUGGGUCCUGGGCCCACAGCCGAGAAAACAACCAAUACAAAUCCGAGCUAUCGCGAAGCUUACAUUCAAGAAGCCAGAAGGAAGGGAGCAGGGAGAAUGGAAGAGGAAAAAACAUGGCGGGGAUCUUCAAGGACAUGAAAUGCCACAGGUCUGACCCACGGAAUCAGCUUUGAUCGCUGCUGGGCUUCCUACCCGUAGAACAUUGCCUGGUACACGGUUAUGGGGAAUUCCAGAAACAUACCUUGCCCUCUGAGACCUCUGGAGUGUGGUUCAAGCCUCUCCCCGCCUGACAUGCUCUCCACUGCACGCCAGUGACCACCUGGAAAACCUUAAUCAUCCUUCAAGGGUCACAGAACGUGCUUUCCAGGUGUGUACCAUGGUGAAGAUACCAUACAGCCUCUGAAACACACACGCCCGACCGAUCACCCCAACAACCAGAUAGCAGGUGUUUGCCAUUGAGUCUUCUUCUCCUUCUCUUAUUCUAGGUCUUGGAAGAUAGUAAAGAUGUCCUUUGUUGAUUUUAACCUGAGACAGCUCUUCUAUAGUUUGUCAUAUAUCAUGAGAACUCAGUAAAUCAUCACUAAGCAUAAGGA